RNAcentral lists this long non-coding RNA (965 nucleotides) under Anser cygnoides (Swan goose). RNAcentral's name for it is "lncRNA (ENSACDG00005000389.1)". The record is from RNAcentral. Lineage: Eukaryota; Metazoa; Chordata; Aves; Anseriformes; Anatidae.
AUGGGGCCUUGGCUGGUGGACAGGCCUCCAGGAGGGCUGCUCCUGGUGACAGCAGGACAUCGUCUCCAGCACAAGUCCUCAGGGUGCUCCUGGACUCAGGGGCAAUGUGGCUCGCAGGCACAGAAGCAAUUCCUUUGGAAUGAGAGCCCUGACCAAGGCUGGGCGUCAGAGAAGGGUUUCCAGCAAGUUGCGGGGAGGAAGGAAACCCGCCAGUGGGACAGACGAUAUUGUCUUUUGUUUUACUUUGUAGCGCUGAUUGUUGAAUGCUUUUUGAUUUCACAAGAAUUUCUGGACUUUGUCAACUUCCUUCAGAGAUUUUGCUGGGAAAAAAAAUGGAACCAUGCUCAGCGUUCUCCUUCCCCAACCAAACCACUCAAUGUUUUCAUUCAAAUCAGAAUUUUCCAUGGAUUGUAAUGCAUGUUCCUCAACCAGCAUCAACAUGGUAGGCACCGUAUAGCCCGCUAGAUAAUAUUUGUAUUCCAGCAGCAGGAACUCAGGUCAGAGCUCUCGUCUGCUGGACCUUGCAUAGAAGUGGCAACCUUGCUCUGAGGACUUCAUAAUCAGAAUAGAAAAGACAAAGGGCAAGGGAAGAGAAAAAAAAUACUAUAAAUAUGCUUUAACAGAUGGGGCGCUGAGGUGGCAGAAGAUGAAGUGAUUCAUUUGACGUCAUGAUCAUAGGAAAGCUAAGCCAAAGCGAAGAACUAAAUCCAUCCCUCUUGGAAGGCGCAGCACAUAUCUUUAACCACAGCCCAUCCUUUCCCUCUGGUGCUGUUGACUUCUGGUCAAGCCUUUGUUGUUCACUAGGGGAUGGCACUUGGCACAGGGCUAUUUGCUGAGGAUCAGUCUACUUAUGGGGAUGUUUCUUGGGCGAUCCACCGAGUAUGCCUGAUAACCACUUGUUUAUAUCAGUCCCUCCCGAGGACACCCGUCCCCUGGGUGAAGCUUUGCUUUAUGCUGGGUGUCAG